UAGGAAUGUUUCAGAAGUAAGAGAGAAGACUAGGGUUUCAAGAACAAGGACCAGCACCUAUGAAGGCUCUGAGGCACAGACCACUGUGACCUGUGGAGAAGUGCAAAGUGAAAGGCAUGUUUUGAUUACUACUGACAUUCAAAGUCUGGACACGGGUGACAAAUCUAAAAGAUAUUGCCCGUUCAUCCAACUGCUGCUGUCCGGCCAGUAUAUCUUCUGAGAUUACCAUCAGCUAAAUAUUGCAUUGUCUUUGGACAAUUUUCCUACAUUGUGACUCCUCACUACAUUUUCGAUGCUUUUCUAGUCCCAGACAAGCUACAGACUGUUAAUUUACACUUGCUUUUGCCUUGCCUGAGGAAAUUGAAAAUAAACUUUAAUUUCCUAGUCAAGGGCUACGGGUGCUUUGUGUGGUUUGGAGGAAAAAAAAAUACUGUUAGGUGGAAUUAGGGAAUAUUAGGAGAGUUUCUGAAGUUAGUGAAGGUACACAGUAAUUGAUCACUUGCCCUCAUAGUGAGAGGUCAUUCCAAUGAGCAGAGGUUCUGUCAAUAUCUGAGAUCUGUUUGAAACCUGGCCUCGAUCUGUCAAUCACGCCCAGUAACCAUAUUCAUAGGGUUCAGAUCUGAAUUUUGAAUUGCAUCAGAAGCUUUCCUCUGGCCUUGGAGAUGCCAUUGAGACCAUUCUCAUAGUUAGUCACCACUCACAGUACACAAAAUGGAAGAAAAAACUUCCUUUGGGGCAAAUCAACAAUCUCUGGUAGGAAAAUAAACAAGGAUGCUUUCAGAAUAUCAGAAGCCCAAGCCUGAGCAUCUGGAGGCAAAGCAAGAGUAGAGAAGUCUUUGUUGGUGGUACCACUGCCUGUAGGAAUUUAAGAGAACUUGGAUCUUAGAAGUUGCUCAGUUAAGUCCUAGAGAGAGCCUAAGCGGGACUGAUGAGAAGCAGAACAAAUUGUUAUUUCUGAGAAGAAAAACCAACACGUUAACUUUUGGAGGUUUGAAUUUUUUGUUUUAGUUUUUAUUCCUUUUGGGAAAAGCUAUUUUUAUUGCAAAAAAAAAUGUAAAGCUAGCAACAAAAUAGUCGAAAAGUAUUUAUUGUGUACCUACUGUGUGAUAGGAGCUGGGUUUCAAACCCAAGUGAAUAUGAAAUAGAUGAGCCCUAGAUGCACA
This 1163-nucleotide long non-coding RNA is filed under the name Pongo abelii (Sumatran orangutan). Its description in RNAcentral is "lincRNA". Lineage: Eukaryota; Metazoa; Chordata; Mammalia; Primates; Hominidae. The record is from RNAcentral.